GAAAAAAUUUGUAGAAAGCAAAUUGAGUAGAGAAAAAAUUGAGAGUAUUUCCUAAAUUGGGUGAACCACGUAAAUACCUGUGUCCAUUUUUAGCUAUAUUUUUUCAAUUCCAUUAUUUGUCAGCCAAACUCGACCCACACGUUUUCUCUCCAACACGAGGUAGAUCACUUCACGUUGAUGCAAGGCCAUCGACCCCCCUCCCCCCAAGUGCUCUACCUCUAUGUUAGACCGUCGACCCACUGGGGUACUCUACAUCUAUGAGAUAUCCUCAACCCCCGAGAGCGCUCUACCUCAACAAGAGAUCGUCAAUCCACUGGGGUCGUUCUAUCUCUACGCGAGACCGUCGACCCCCCUAGGUGCUCUAUCUCAAUGCGAGACCGUCAACCGAUAUGGAAUUACCUAUAGGAUCAUCUCAACACUUAACCAUAAAAUCUUUGAUGAAUUGACAAGAUUACAUGGUGGUUACCACGGGCACAACCUCCGAGUGAGAAGUUAAGACCCCCACUCAGAACAUGGGGAUAAUGAGAAGGCUAACGUGGGGACAUGUGGCACCACAACCACCCGGUUCUCACUCAGUUUUCGACAUCUAUAAAUACCCCCGAGGGCGAUACAGGUUGCACUCCCCUGUCCGAAUAGCAGGAACGCCAAAGGCCACCAGAUAAAUCAGGAGGUAUUAUUCCACCACCAUUUCAGAGUAGAAAAUAUUAUUUAUUUUGACAAUAAGUAGGAACUGCUUUUAAAAUAAGUAAACUGCUUUUUCCAACUUUGACAGAAUGAAAAAUUAUUUCUUUUAGAAUUUACUUAAUUACUUACAAAUAAUUUCUUUAAGCUUUGGCAAACAUGCACACAUAAUGUAAAAUUACCUCAACUCUUAAAUUAAAAAUGUCUUUGAAUAGAGUUAAGACAGGUUUGGCGGCCACAGUAGCAACUAGCUGGUUGUGAUGGAUCUGCAAUAACACUGUGGCAGACAUGCUCAAUCUGCCAGAAGAGUGAAAAUCAUUUGUAAGCAAUAACAAGAUUACGAGUGAUAUGUCAGCCGUGCUAUUUUAAUAGCGAACACCAUAUAUUUUUAAAAUGCGUGAAAUGAACAAUGUGUUCCUGUAGAUUAUGAUUUUUAAGUUGUCAACAUUUUACCAAUUCAACAUGAUCAUAUUAACAGUACGUGUUUUGUGUCAA
Molecule: long non-coding RNA, 1176 nt
Organism: Olea europaea var. sylvestris
Lineage: Eukaryota; Viridiplantae; Streptophyta; Magnoliopsida; Lamiales; Oleaceae
Exons: 2
Source: RefSeq, a predicted model, not a curated record